RNAcentral lists this ribosomal RNA (3251 nucleotides) under Durio zibethinus. Its description in RNAcentral is "eukaryotic LSU rRNA". The stretch from base 395 to 3251 matches the Rfam family "Eukaryotic large subunit ribosomal RNA". The record is from RNAcentral. Lineage: Eukaryota; Viridiplantae; Streptophyta; Magnoliopsida; Malvales; Malvaceae.
AAGGGCUAAAUGCUAUUUUCUUUUUGUAAACUAAAGCAACAAUAUUUAACAAUGGGAACUAUUUAUUUUGCUUGGUGUGAAUUACAGAAUCUCAUGAACCAUCAAGUCUUUGAAUACAAGUUGUGCCCUAAGCCAUUAGGCCAAGGGCAAGCCUGCUUGGGUAUCUUGCAUCAUCAUCUUUUAACCCCCCACCUAUCGGGCUUUGAGUGAGGGGUGAAAGAUGGCAUUCCAUGAUCUCGUCGAUCAUGGUUGGCCCAAAAGUGAGUCCUUAGCAAUGAUAGCACCGCGAUGUCGGUGGUAAAGCUCACUGCAUGCCUCAUCUCCGGUGAUGUGCGCUCGUUAUCCAUCCGAACCCCAUUGUGCCCCUUACAUCACUUGAUUGAUACUCCCAUUGUGACUUUAGGUCAGGUGGGAUUACCCUAUUAGUUUAAGCAUAUCAAUAAGUGUAGGAAAAGAAACUUACCAAGAUUCCCCUAGUAAUAGUGAGUGAACCAGAAAGAGCCUAGCUUGAGAAUUAGACUCCCCAGAUGUCUAAAUUAUAGUUUGGAGAAGUAUCCUCAGUGACAAACUGAGCCUAAGUCUCCUAAAAAGAGGUGCAGGAAAGGGUGAGAGCCCCUAUUAUGCUUGGAUAUUGUCACACCAUGAGGCACUAUUUACGAGUCAGUUUGUUUGGGAAUGCAGCCCCAAUCGAGCUAUAAAUUUCAUCCAAGGCUGAAUACGAGUAAGAGACUGAUAGCAAACAAGUACUAUAAGGGAAAAAUGAAAAGGACUUUGAAAAAAAAGUCAAAGAGUGCUUGAAAUUAUCGAAAGGGAAGUAGAUGGGGUCGAUGAUACACCUCGAUUGGAUGUGGAAUGGUGAGAGCUAGUUUUUUGAUCAACUCAAGGCAUGGACUGACAUGGGUUAUGGUAGAAGCCUAAGCCCAGGAUUUUGAUAUGCUCGUGGAGACAGCAUCACCAUGAUCAUGGAAUGCAGUAUGUGCUAUCUCAACAUGCAUUAGCACUUGCAUGCUCCAAUCAUGCCUUCAAGCUUUCCAUCUGACCCAUCUUGAAACACAGACUAAAGAGUCUAACAUGUGUGCAAGUCAAUGGGUUAGGAAACCUAUAAGGUGCAUGGAAGCUGAAUAGCGGGAUCUAUCAUGGGUGCACCUGGGAUUGACCUUGAUCUUUUAAGAAGGGUUUGAAUACGAGCAUGCCUGUCAAGGCCCAAAAGAUGGUGAACUAUGUCUAAGCAGGGCGAAGCCAAAAAAACUCUGGUGGAGGCCCGUAGUAAUACUAACAGGCAAAUCAUUCAUCUGAUUUGGGUAUAGGGGUGAAAGACUAAUCGAACUAUCUAGUUGCUAGUUCCCUUCAAAGUUUUGUUCAGGAUAAUUGGAGCCUUUAGCGAGUUCUAUUAGGGAAAGCCAAUGGUUAGAGACAUUGAGGGUGUAAUGCCCUUGACCUAUUUUUAAACUUUAAAUAGGCAAAAUGGUGUGGUUGCUUCGUUGGGCCAUGCCAUGGAAUCGAGAGCUCUAAGUAGGCCAUUUUUUAUAAGCAAAUAGGUAAUGCAAGAUGAACUGAAAGUCAGGUUAUGGUGCCUAAUUGCACAUUAACUAAGAACCCAUAAAGGGUAUUGGUUGAUUAAGAUAGUAGGACGGUGGUCAUAGAAGUUAAAAUCCACUAAGUAGUGUGUAACAACUCACUUGCCGAAUCAACUAGCCUCGAAAAUGGAUGGCACUUAAUCACAUGACCCAUUCCUGGCCAUCAGGGUAAGGGCCAGGCCCUAAUAAGUAGAAGGGCAUGGUGGUCACUAUAAAACUUAUGGCAUGAGCUAGGGCAAAGAAGCUAUCAGUACAGAUCUUAGUGGUAGUAGCAAAUAUUCAAAUGAAAACUUUGAAGGCUAAAAUGGGGAAAGGUUCCAUGUGAACAAUGCUUGCACAUGGGUUAGUCAAUCCUAAGGGAUAGGGGAAGCCCAUCUGACAAUACAUCUAGUACAAACUUCGAAAGGGAAUUGGGUUAAAAUUCUUGAACUGAGAUGCGAUGACUGACGAUAAUGUUAAUGAGUCCAGAGACAUCAGUGGGGGCCUUAAGAAUAGUUAUCUUUUCUGUUGAAUGGCUUGCCCACCCUGGAAAUGACUAAGCUGAAGAAAGGGUCCAAUGGAUGCUCACGUAAUAUGAUUUCUGCCAAGUGUUUUGAAUGUCAAAGUAAAGAAAUUCUACUAAGUGUGGGUAAAUAGCGGGAGUAACUAUGACUCUUUUAAGGUAGCCAAAUGCCUCAUCCUCUAAUUAGUGACAUGCAUGAAUGGAUUAAUGAGAUUUCCACUAUCCUUAUCUACUAAGCAAUGAAACCACAGCUAAGGGAAUAGACUUGGCAAAAUCAGCAAGGAAAAAAGAUCUUAUUGAGUUGAACUCUAGUCUGACUUUGUGAAAUGACUUGAGAGGUGUAGGAUAUGUAAGAGCCAUCAGGCAAAAUUAAAAUACCACUACUUUUAAUGUUAGUUUACUCAUUCUAGGAAUCAGAGGUAGGGCACGACCCUUUUUUUAGACCUUAAGCCAGCCUUGGUCAGUUGAUCUGAGUGAAAGACAUUGUUAGGUGAAGAGUUUGGCUAGGGAGGCAUAUCUAUUAAAAGAUAACACAAGUGUCCUAAGAUAAGCUUAACGAGAACAUAAAUCUUAUGUGGAAUAAAGGGUUAAAUCUUAUUUGACUCUAAUUUUCAGUAGGAAUACAAACUAUGAAAGUGUGGCCUAUCAAUCGUUUAGACCUUCAAAAUUUAAAGCUAAAGGUGUCAAAAAAGUUACCACAGGGAUAACUAGCUUUGGCAACCAAGUGUUCAUAGCGAUUUUGCUUUUUGAUCCUUUGAUGUCGACUUUUCCUAUCAUUGUGAAGUAGAAUUCACCAAGGGUUGGAUUGUUCACCCACUAAUAGGGAAUGUGAGUUGGGUUUAGACCAUUUUGAGAUAAGUUAGUUUUACCUUACUAAUGGUAGUGUUGUAAUAGUAAUUUAACUUAGUAUGAGAAGAAUAUUGAUUCGCACAAUUGGUCAACGCUCUUGGUUAAAAAGCCAGUGGUGCAAAGCUACCAUACAUUAGAUUAUGACUGAAUGCCUCUAAGUCAGAAUCCAGGCUAGAAGUGAUGCAUGCACCUACCACUAAAUUGUUGACUCAUAGUAGGGGCCCAUGGGCCCCAAAGGCAUGUGUCAUAGGUGCAGCCCUUAUGGUGGACAAGCUACGCGAACCUUCUUAGAGCUCAAUUCCCAUCGAGCGAGAAUAAUCCUU